CCUACGGGUGACAGCAGUGGGGAAUAUUGGGCAAUGGAGGCAACUCUGACCCAGCAACGCCGCGUGAAUGAUGAAGGUCUUCGGAUUGUAAAGUUCUGUGAUGGGGGAUGAACACAAUGACGGUACCCCAAUAGCAAGCCACGGCUAACUACGGGCCAGCAGCCGCGUUAAUACGUAGGUGGGAAGCGUUAUCCGGAUUGACUGGGCGUAAGGGGUGCGUAGGUGGUCUAGCAAGUUGGCGGUGUAAUUCCGGGGCUCAACCCCGGCGCUACAGCUGAAACUAUUAGACUAGAGUGCCGGAGAGGUAAGUGGAAUUCCUAGUGUAGCGGUGGAAUGCGUAGAUAUUAGGAGGAACAUCAGGGGCGAAGGCGACUUACUGGACUGUAACUGACACUGAGGCACGAAAGCGUGGGGAGCAAACAGGAUUAGAUACCCUAGUAGUC
This 443-nucleotide ribosomal RNA is filed under the name uncultured bacterium. Its description in RNAcentral is "partial 16S ribosomal RNA". It matches the Rfam family "Bacterial small subunit ribosomal RNA", at positions 338 to 795 of the family's 1533-position model. The record is from RNAcentral.